AUCUUGCUGACGAGUCCCAAACAGGAAGAAACACAUGUCUUGGAU
Molecule: non-coding RNA, 45 nt
Filed under: Schistosoma mattheei
Lineage: Eukaryota; Metazoa; Platyhelminthes; Trematoda; Strigeidida; Schistosomatidae
Source: RNAcentral